RNAcentral lists this ribosomal RNA (600 nucleotides) under Ancylomenes magnificus. RNAcentral describes it as "partial 12S ribosomal RNA". The record is from RNAcentral. Lineage: Eukaryota; Metazoa; Arthropoda; Malacostraca; Decapoda; Palaemonidae.
UUGCCAGCAGCUGCGGUUAGACUAUGCGGGAUUGGAGAAAUAGCCGGCUAGUAGUUAUAAGUUGUCUUCUAGUACAAGCUUUAAAUUUAACUAGGGGUGAAAUUUUAAAUUAGAGUUUAUUGGUUGUGUGACGAAGUUAUUUUAGAGGCUAUUAAUAUUUAGGUAUAAACCAGGAUUAGAUACCCUGCUAUACUAUAUAUAGAAUUUAAGUAUGCUGGAGUAGUAAUCAGUUAUGGUCUUUAAACUUAAAGGAUUUGGCGGUACUCAAGUCUAGUUAGAGGAACCUGCACUAUAAACGAUAAUCCCCGAAAUAUCUUACUUUAUCUUGUCUCCAGUUUAUAUACCGCCAUUAUAAAAUAAUACUAAAAAUUAUUUAUUAGGAUAAAAUAUGUUUAUUAUAUUAGGUCAAGGUGUAGCCGAUGGUAGAGUAGUUGUGGGUUACAAUGUGUUAUACAUAAACGAAUGUUUGUUAUGAAUAUAGCAUCUAAAGGUGGAUUUAAUUGUAAGUUUGUUUUAAUAUGAGAGGUUGAUAAAAGCUCUAGAGUAUGUACAUAUCGCCCGUCGCUCUCGUAUUAAAGUGAGAUAAGUCGUAACAAAGUA